Molecule: long non-coding RNA, 921 nt
Organism: Hirundo rustica (Barn swallow)
Lineage: Eukaryota; Metazoa; Chordata; Aves; Passeriformes; Hirundinidae
Exons: 2
Source: RefSeq, a predicted model, not a curated record
GGUACUGCAGGGCGGGAGCCGCGGCGACGCUUUCCUGGACGGCCGCGUCGGUCCCGCCCGUGCGGGCCUGCGGUGCCCGGGAGCAGCGUGGGUGGCGAGACGAUGGAGGAGCCGAGCGCUUGCUGUGGCUGCGGCCGCGUGGAAGGUAAUUGGGAAGAGUGGGACAAGAACUGAAGGAUAACUUCUUGUCAGCCUGGCUCAGAAGCAGCAAAUUGUGGUGGAAGAAUAUCCAUGAAUACAUCUGAGAUGAUGAUCUACAGUUUUAAAACAAAUCUGGAAAGGAAAAACCACAUUAUUUUGAAGGAAAACCUCAGGUGGAACACGUGAGAAAGAUUUCUAGCUUCGAAGAAAUCUCUCAUCAAAUAAUAUGUUGAUGUUAGUUUUUUGUUAGUUUUUUUUUUACAUAAGCAAAGCAUCUGAAAACAGUCCAGGAAUGUUACAGGAGGUUAGUGAGGAGCUGAGGACGCACUUGGAAUUGCUGUGACCUUGUCUCCUGCUCCGGCACUCACAGCUGGUUGUCUCAGGAUGGUUUGGCUGAAGUUGAAAUUGCCACUUUCUGCAGAGCUGCAUCAAUAUUCUUCAGUUCUAAUGGAGGAUUGUCCUGUGGUGUUGGCUUUUUAACAGCUUUAGUUUUGCCUAAGAAAGAGCAUCGUAGUCUGGUGUUCAGCUGGAAUAGUGCCUCUGGUCCCUUUCGAAAGGAGGAGCUGGAGCUUGCAUUUCUCUCUCUUACUUGGUGCUAAAGAAGAGUGCUGAAGGUGCCUGCAAAAGCAGGACUGGGUGCUCUGGAAGUCAGGAGUGGUUGUGAUUUUAUAUCCUGGUUUUGGUUGGGACAUUGAGCAGGCGUACCAUACUGAUUUAUUUGAUCUCCUUUGACUCUCCUGGUUGAAAUAAAAGUGCCAUUCCCCUCUCUCCCUUCCAUAA